Molecule: non-coding RNA, 158 nt
Filed under: Paenibacillus sp.
Lineage: Bacteria; Bacillati; Bacillota; Bacilli; Caryophanales; Paenibacillaceae
Source: RNAcentral
UCUUACAAGGAAGAAGCAGCUUGUAAACUCUCGUUGACACUUAAUAGGGAAGACCGGUGAGAAUCCGGCACGGACCCGCCACUGUAAGGAUUGCCAGCGAAAGCACGCGUUCGCUGCGCUAUCCGAGUCAGAAAAUCUGCCUGUUUACAUAACGCUUA